GGCAUAGUUGUUUUGCGGGAAACUUUGGUGCUCUGGCUAGACAUGGCUUAUUUUUUAUGUUUGAACCGUGGAUGCUGUUUUACUGUACCUAUUUACCUCAUAGAUCGUGUUGUGAGUGCAUUGUGGUAGACUUAUCAGAUGGUGGCGACAUAUAUUCGUUAAAGUGAACAUAUAAUAAUCUAUAUAGAUUUAUUUUGGACAUAUGUCUUGUGGUCUGGUGGUUAUGGUUAUCUGUUGUUAUGCCUCUGUGUUUUAUAUUACUGCAUCAUGUUCAGUUGGUGUUCACUUACAUUUUGCUGGAAUCACAUGCUCCAUGCUAGCCGGAGAAACCAUCAUGGAGAUUGGAAAUAAGGUGAGCUUCCCUUGCUCUUUUAUAUAUAGGCCUAUUUGAUUCAAAAAGAUUUUCAGAGAACUUUUGGAGGAUCAAAACCUUUAGCAAUUUUUCUUAUACAUGUUUUUUGAUUGGUAGGAUUGAUUCUUUUAAAAAGUUCCCUAGGCCUUGUUCGGUUACACCCCCUCCCAAGGGGAUUGUGGCAGACUUAUCCCUGCCAACCGAACAGGGCCAAAAGGUUCUUUUGUACUCCCUUCGUUCGGAAUUACUUGUCUCGAAAAUGUAUGUAUCUAAAACUAAAAUAUGUCUAGAUACAUCCAUUUCUGCGACAAGUAAUUUCGAACGGAGGGAGUUCUCAAUAGGGUAUUUAGGAGAGUGACGGGGAGAGCCAGGAACGCGCAGGCCCUCCCUCCCGCUCGCCCCCCGCGAGGCGACGGGAGGAACCCUAGCGCGCUGCCGCCAACUCCUUCCCCACCCCUCCUCCUCCCUCGCUGCCGCCAGAGGGCGCGGCCGGGCGAAGCCUGGCCGGUGCCGGCGGCGGCGAGGCCUCCUCGUCUCCCCUCCCAGCGGCCUUGGCGUGGGCCGACGCGGCUGGAUCGGGGUGCCUCGCUAUCCCAGGGCGAGGCGGCGCGGCGGAGUGGUGAUGGCGCUGCGCGUGGCGGUGGCGCGACGGGCCGGGCGUCGAAGGACNNNNNNNNNNNNNNNNNNNNNNNNNNNNNNNNNNNNNNNNNNNNNNNNNNNNNNNNNNNNNNNNNNNNNNNNNNNNNNNNNNNNNNNNNNNNNNNNNNNNNNNNNNNNNNNNNNNNNNNNNNNNNNNNNNNNNNNNNNNNNNNNNNNNNNNNNNNNNNNNNNNNNNNNNNNNNNNNNNNNNNNNNNNNNNNNNNNNNNNNNNNNNNNNNNNNNNNNNNNNNNNNNNNNNNNNNNNNNUGGCGGCGGGCGGAUCUGGCGUGACGGCGGUCGCGUUGAGGCAGGGCGUCGGUGGCGGGCUCCGGUGGCCUGGGCCGGUUCCUGGCUGGGCGCUGCGUUGGUGUGGGUCGCGGGCGACAAGGAUCUGCGGGCGGCCGCCCCUGCCCUGGCUUCGGGCUGGUGGGGGUGGCGGCGCAGUGGUGGUGGCUGGCGGGGCGUGUUGGCCGAUUCUUCCUGGUCGGGCGCUCGGACGUCGGCGGACGGCGCGAGGAGACAUCUCCGGUGAGCUCUCAUGGCUGCAGCUGCGGGUCGGUUUGGUCUCCCUCGUCGGCGGGCUCGCGGUUGCCGAUGGCCUCGCGGAGAUGUGUGUCAGCUACCAUGGUGGGGCGACAUGGGGGUGCUCGCGGGGGAGCUUGGUAGGAGGGAUAGGUGGCCUCGAUGCGGUCGUGCCACCUGUCGCCGGCACGGUUUGCCGGUCCGGAUGCGUCCGCUCCUCCUUCUUCCCCUUUCUCCUUGUUCGACGGGGAGCUUGGUUGGAGGGAUGGGUGGCCUCGAUGCGGUCGCGUCACCCGUCGCCGGCACGGUUUGCCGGUCCGGAUUCGUCCGCUCCCCUUUCUCCCCCUCUCCUCAGCCGCGGGCGGGUUGGCGCAGGUUUACCAGCGGAGCGUCUGUGGGUGGUUCCGUCGGUCGAGGGCCAUCGGUUGGUCCAAAGCUGGGGCCUUUGUGUAGGUCUUGGGGUUGUCUAGUUGCCAGGGCGGCGGCUCUGGCGGCGGGAGGCGCGACGUUCGUGGGCGUAGUGUGCGUCUCAGGUGCGGGCAGGCAACCAUGGCCGCGUGGGUGGCGUGGUUGCGGGUGGUUGGCGGAGUUCAGGUUCAACGGUGGGGUGUGAGUGCCGGGGUACACCACCUGUCCAGUACUUUGACUGGCCGACGAUGACGGUGGCCUUUGCCGCCGUACCCUUCCUGAAGGCUCCGUCGCGGCGUUUCCACUCUUGGCGUUUCCACUCUUGUCGUCUUGCUCCGGGUAAAAACCUGAUCUUCGCUGGUCAGGCGAUGGCGGCUAUCCAUGGUUGUAUCUUUCUUGGAGGCACCGCUUUGGAGGCCUGGCUUCGUUUUGGUCCGGUUCACCUCUCUAUUGGUAGUCGGUGGGGUGGUGUGUCGGUGCCUGGCACCUUUGUAUCUUGCUCUUGCCUUGGGUGUGUGCGGUGUGUGCGUUGUUGUUCGGUAUCUCGGUUGUACUCGGCGAUGUUUGCUUUAUAAUAUAAAGCGGGGGAAACCUUUUUUCGGCAAUAGGGUAUUUAGCAUCUACUCAAACCUCUUCUUGGAAGAAAACCUUCUUUUUCUCAAACUACAUUUCAUAGGAAAUUUAGUAUCCAUUCAAUCUUAUAAGUUAGAAAAAUAAGAGUAUCCAUUCAAACUUUUUAGAAAAGUUCUCUGUUUUUCCUCAAACAAACCAAAAGGCCCUGACAUACAUUUACGAGGUACACUUUUGCAAAGAUAAACACCACUCGCCAUCAGACACAUACACAUUAUGUUUUAGCCUCUUGAUUGAUUCAUCUGAAGCUUCUGCCUCUGCUCCUGCCGAUGUUCUCCACGAAGCCCUCCCCGAUCCCCUCGCCGAUGCCCUCGAUGAGGCCGCCGAUGACGCUGAAGAGCGCGUUGAUGGUGACCUUGGCCACGGCGACGAGCGGGUUGCUCUUCUCCGGCGGCACCACGCCAUGCUCGUAGAGCCCGUUCACCAUGUCCUUGGCGCACUUGGCGUGCAGGUAGUACCCGCACGGCAUGCACUGGUAGACGCGCCCCGACCGCCGCCUCCGGCACACCUGGCACACGAAGCUCGUGGCCACGCCGGCGCCCGCGCCCGAGUCCGGCGCCAGCAGCAGCGGGUGGGCGUGCGCCGGGAGCUCCAUCCGGCGCGUCAUGGCCGCGCAGCAUGGGUGCACGUCGAAGCUGCAGCACGCGCACCGGUACGAGAAGCCCUUGACCGGCUUGCCGCAGAUGUCGCACUUGCACCGGAGAAACCCGCCUGAUCAAAACGCAUGCAUCUUCGUCGUAAGUAGAGGCUGCGUGCCUGCGUGCUCGGUUGUGUGUGAUGGAUGGUUCGUCGCCAUUACCUGGCUUCUCGAAGAAGAGGAGGUGCUGGUGCUUGGGGUGGAAGGGGUGGUCGUGGAGCGAGGGGGGAGCCAGGGCGCAGAACUCGUGCAGCUGGAAGCCGCAGAUCUGGCACAUGAACCGCUUGCCGGCGCCGUACUCCUUGCAGCCCAUGCACAGGAAGAGGUACGGGAAGUCGAACCGGGCCAGCCGGUGCUCCGGGUGGCUGAAAUGCACCAUCUCGCCGUCGCCGCCAUCGCCGCCGUGCUCCGGCUCGUGCUGCUGCGGCUGGCUCUGGCCCGUCUCAGGACGAACGCCAUCCUCCGCCGCCAGCUUGCCGCUGAGGUUUCUCGGGUUCAUGGACACGCACCUGCUCAUGUCGCCCGCUCCAGAGUACAUGCAUAUUUUGGGCAUUGUGCCUGAGGCCAUAUAUGGAAGGCCGAAAGCUUGAGCGGGAGGCCUCUCCAUGGACCAUGGCGUUGCUGUUGCACUAAAACUACAGCUAGCACUGCUGCUGCUGCUGCAGGAGCAGCAGCCUUGUUACACAAUGCGGUAAAGCCAGCCAGGUUCUGAUGCUUGUGUGAGGGACAAGUCUUAUCUCCUGUGAUUGACUGACCGAGGAAGUUACAGCAUCAAGAAAUCUCGUUUUGCUUUCGCAGCAUCUAGUUCCUGAUCGGGGUUCAGAAAGCCAACCGGGCUAUGUAAGUAAGAUCAUAAACUACCGGUGGAGUAACCAGACGUGAAAAGAUCUUCCUGUGCCUGACAACUCUGAUGAACCAGACAUGCACUUCUACCUCAUUUCCUUAUUCUAUUUCCACAGACGUGAAGUUUGAUAUCUUCUGUUAUUCAUAUUUCAUUUCACUAAAGUAUAAACGGAAUGAAAACAUGGAAACGGAAACAGAAUUCUUUUGGGACGGAAGCAGAAUCGGAAAUGAGAACAGAACCGAAUGAUGUUUCUCCGAUAAAACUCAUGUGGAAACAGAAUUUCAGUAUCCUCAAAUGCGGAAAUUUCCGUCUAUCUUCUUUCUGUUCUAGCCUGCCCAACCUAUCUCCUUACUCUCGUGAUUCUUGCCCCUGGCUCCCCCCUCCCACUUUUAUCACCCCCCCACCCCCCCAACCCCAACACCUCCCACUUUCAUCUUCCACCUCUGCUUAUGGGUGCACAAUUGAACAAGUUUGUUGGUUUCGUUUUUCUAUAUGAUUCUAGUGGUUUUUGAGUUCCGACAAACUUCAUUUUUGUAUCCGUGUCUGCGUUGCAUGGUGUUCGCUUUGUAUCAGUUUCUAGCAAUACCUGCUCAUUGGUGGGUGAUGAAUCUGGUUGCUAGUCUGUUCAAGUGGGGAUGGUGUGGCAGUGACAUCCCUAUGGUGGACUUGUGUCCUCGGCGCGGAGCUCAGGAGGUGGUGGUACAGGAGUGGAUGCAGAUUAUGAUCUGUGUCGACGACAACUGGAAGACGAUGGUUCAUGUGCUGGGUUCGUGGUUGGUGGCUGACAUGUAUAGUUUCCUCCUUUGACAUCAUCGUCAAGCGGGGAUGCUAGAUCUAAAGUUCGAUGGCGUAUUCGGAGUGCUUCCCUGACCAGAGUCUUUCAACAACAACUGCUUCACCUUUGUUAAGCUGCUUUGAAGGUCCGAAAAGCCGCAUAUCAGCGAUGGAGCUGCGUCGAGCUCGUGUGAAGAGGUCACCUGCCACAUUUUUUGGUGGCUGUUGUGGUGGUGCCGGAGUCAGGUGACAGGAGUUGACGUAAAGCUCAAGGGAUUCUUUGCUCAUGAUAGUAUUUUGUCUUAUUGGCUGGUGGUCCUUUGUGCAAAGACCAGAGUUUUACUGUCCUUUCAGUUUUUCGAAGUCAAUGUUUUAUCGUGGCUUGUAACUUGAUAUUUAUUAUAUGAAUGAGACCCAUAUUACCAGACAAAAAAUAUAUUCGUUUCCGCUUCUAAAAGAUACACAAGCAAAUGAGGCAGCACCGAGCUCCGCAAGUUUUCUACUCGGUUUUCACCCCUUUCCAUAAUUAUCCGCUCAACACCGACAUCUUGUACCUAAACGUUUCGAACCAAAGAAACUUGGUGCUCAUCUCUCGGUGAAGCAGUAUGAUCGGUCAGGCAAUGACAGUUUUGCACAUACGAUUUACCUAGUCUACACAAAAUAUAUUUCACAAAAUAGGAGAAAUGAUGAGGAAAAAUGUAGAAAAGUAAUAUUUUGAUAGAACAUAUAGAUUGGAAUCUAUUUGGAUUAACAUUAUGAAAAUUGAGAAGAAUGAAAAAUACAAAUAACUAAUGAAUAAAUGUUUUUCGUGGGGAAGUAAUGAAAAAGGUUAUUCGAGAAAGUCACAAAAGAUUUAAAAGAAUUGAGGGAAAAUCAUAGCAUUAUGCUCAUUAUUAUUCUUAAAUUUUGCGAUUUUGUUCCAAUUUUAAGCUUUUGGAAUACUUAUGAUUUUUGCCUUUACUCUAAAUUUCACUUCUAAGAUUUUUUUCUUGAAUUUGUUUCAACCAACUUUCUCAUGUUGUGUUCUUCUGAGCUUGGUGGCGGACCUAGAGGUUGAUUAGUUGCGGUGCCAAUCUUAGCAAAUCACAAUGUAACAUUAUGAACUAGCAUUUUAUGGCAUUUUAAUUACUACCAAGUGAACAAAAUCUACAUUCUUAGAGGGGGGAGGAAGUGUCAGGCACCACCAGCAGAUCAGCUCAUGCCCACAUGUCCGUAGGUACAAUCAUCCGGUGAACCAUACAACUUUGGGUGGGGUCAGAAAUCAAAUUUGGUCGAUUUCAAAAGCUUGGUGUUCAAAAUGUGGCUACUAAGUUCUAGUUGGAUGCUUAAAAGAGUUAUCUUGUGUGGUGACUGGUCUAUAAAGGAGUCCAGUUUAACUAUAUGCAAGUUACCUGAUUUUUAAAUUUGGGUAAGUCAACUUUUUAAACAUUAUAGGUGAGUGUAAAUGUAUACACACAAGUACUAUAUAAUAUAUGUGUACUAUACAGUAUGUGUGUAUAUUAUAAUAGAGUGUGAAAACUUGCACAAUUUUUUUAGAAAUGGAGAAGGACCCCCGUGCUCUGCAUGUGGACGAGGCAUGCAGCCACUUUAUUAAUUAUUCACACAAGACCUUACAAAAUUAUACAAAAAUAAGACUGAAGCCAUCGUCUAGUCUAGGCAACAUCUGUCGCUACUCCUAUCUAUCUAGUUGAUUAAAGGAUGCUGAUAGUCUAGGACUAAUACCAAAACAGACCUUGCAGCCAAACCUAACAUCUAAGAUCUGAGAUCCCAACCAGGACGCCUGCCGGGUAUGGGGCACCCAUCAGUCCGGCGCACUCCUCAACCUGGACGCCUGUCGGGUAUGAGGCCGCCGCAGCCACUUGCCACCAAUCCAUCUUUAGUGCUGUACCGCUGCAUGUACCUUGCUCGGUUUAGCUGCCGUCGACGCUAGACAACGCCACCAUCCUGUGCUCGUCCAUCAUCACACGCCCACCGGUGAGACCCCGCUGCUCCAUGCCGCUGAGACCCGCCGUUGUCGACGUGUCAGAUACCACGCCACUCCUCCUCUUGUCCCCUCUAGUCAACACUUGCUUCAAAACGAUGCCCCCAGAAGGGAGAACGACAUCGAAACGUCGCCAUCGUCCGAUCCGGUCGAUCCAGAUCUAGGGUUUCCCUCGGAACCUUCUGAUCAGGUUGACGUGACCUACAAUGAUGAUGCCUCGAGAAGGGAACGACGUCCGAGACGCCGCCAUCGUCCGCCAUGACCGCAGUCAGGCACGAUUUUCACUGGAAGCCACGUCGCCCGAUCUCGCGGUUGGCUAGAACAGAGCGGAGUCUCGCCACGAAGACGAACGCCGACGUCGGUAAACCGGCCAAGAUCCGGCAUCUCCUCACCGUUCCCUCAAUGCGCCACCGGUCGGCUGAAGGCCACCGCGCGGCGGAUCCGAUCGGGGUUGGAUCCGCAGUCGCCGCCGCCACCAUCUCCGCGCAGAUCAAGCACCCCGUCAGGUGUGGCGCUGCCACCGCCGCCAUCCAUCCAGGGCCUCCGCUCCGCCGGCUUAUGGCGCUUCGGCCACCGCCGCAUGGCAAGGGAUCGCCGCCCGAGCCGCCGCCUUCGGAUCCCACGAGAAGGGCCACCCCUGCCGCCUCCGAUGAGAUCUUGUCGUGUCCACCCGCCCUGGUGCCUUUGGCACCAGGCCCGCCACCAUCGGGGCCCUCGCCGGCGGUAGCGGUGGCAGACGGAGGCGCGGGAGGAGGCCUGCGGCGCUAGGGUUCGGGGGCCCCUGGCGUCGCCUAAGGGGAGGCGACACAGGGGGGGGGGGGCGCCGAUGGUGCUGGUAUCAAAAGAGAUAAUAUGCUCAUUCUUUGCUACAAAAAGUGCACUCAUAGUGCAAAAGUGCAAAGUUGUGUGCAUGUUUUUUUAAGUACAUUUUUAUAUUUUUUCUUCUUAAAGGGUAAUAGCAGCUUUACUAAUUCAUUCUUCCUUAGAAAGCUUUAUUUAGAGUUUAUUUGAGUUUCUUAUUUCAUCUCGUUCUUCUUUAAGGCUAAUAGCAAUGCCACUAUUUCAUUACUUCCUAGGAAACCAUUUUCUUGAAAAUUACACUAUUACAUGCAUAUUACAAAAAACCCCGCAAUUUUUGUGCAAUUUUUGUCAUUAUUUGUUUUAUUUCUCAUAAAGGGCAAAAACAAUGCUCUAAUUUAUUCUUUCUUAGAAAACUUCACUAUUUUGAUUCUAUUUUAUUUCUUCUUCUUUUAAGGGCAAUACCAAUGCCGCUAAUUAAUCCUUCCGAGGAACUAACUUUUGCGAAAAUUCCACUAUUAUAUACUUAUUACUGUAUAUUAUAAAAAAACAUUUUCUAUGUAAAUUGUGUGAAAUUUGUUAUUUUUUCAUUCAAUUUAUUUUUAAAGGGCAAUACCAAUGCCACCGAUUCACUCUUUUGUAAAAACUUCAUUAAUUUUGUAAAAACUUCAUUAACAAAAUGCCAUUAAUCCACUCCUUAUUCGUAAGCUUUGUGUGUGAAAAUUGAACUAUUAUAUGCUUAUGCUUGCAUACUAUCGAAAAACAUAAUUAAUGAGAAAAUUUUGUCUUUAUUUGUUAUAUUUUUUCUCUUCUUAAUGGGUAAUACUAGUGCCAACAAUUCAUUCUUUCUUAGAAACUUCUUAUUUUUACUUUGUUUCAGUUUUUUAUUUCUUUUCUCAGGAAACACCAACGCCACUAAUUUAUUCUUUCUUAGGAAGCUUUUUGUUUGCAAGAAUUCCACUGUUAUUUGGUUGGUCUUGCAUAUUAUAAAAACACUUUUUUCCUUAUUUGUUUUGAUUUUCACAUUCUAUUUCUUCAUAGAGGGUAAUACCAAUGCCACUAAUUCAUUCUUCCUUAUAAAACAUCUUUUUUUCCAGUCUUUUGUCUUACCAGGUUCAAGUAUAUUUCACACCAAGCCCAAGUAUGAGGUGGCCUUUUAUUUUGUGGCUGCAAAGUCUGAGUUUGUAUUUUAUUUUACUUAUGUCUUUGGUCAUUGAUGCUUACUUGAUUUUUUUCGUUGGAUUUUCUCCAAUGUAUUUGUGUGCUCGACGUACAUCUUGCCAAUAAUAUCUAUUACACACGUGCGUUUUGUGCUAGACUGUGUUUAUUUUGGUGCUCGAUGGCAUACAAUUGCAUGAUGUGCCAAAAGGUUUAUAGACUAUACAAUUAUAUUUUUUCCACUUAUCACCAAGUUAACUAGUCUAUACCUAUAAAGCAUAAAAGUCAGAUAGUUCCCCGUGAACAGACUAUGAAUAAUUAGGGACCAACAUAUGGUUAGGAUGGAGGUCUUUAACAGAAGGAUCGAUCCCCAGUUCAGAUCCAAAGUUGCGUGCCUUUAAUCCAUACCAUACGCACAAACGUAAUCUCCUCAGCACAAGAAAAAUAUUUAUCAAAAAACUAAAUCCAGGCAUCUCACUCCUAGCCACCCCCAAAGAGUCCACUUUAGCUAUGAGUAAGUUGCCUGAUUUUUAAAUUUGGACCAGUCGAUAUUCUUGACCAUUGGUCGAUGCUUUAAGAUUCGUGCUCCUUGUUUUUUCUUGUGUGUGAUGUCAUGUUUGUAACGAACAUUUUUGACUGACCGCUAUUUUGGGCUAGUCGAUUCCUUAUUGGGGAUGAAGCCCGUUACACAUUUCCUUAUGUUGCCUGCUUGUAGGCCAACAAAGCUUCUUUUGUUUUUUAGUCGAUUUUUAUGGGUAUUGGGGAGAUAAGUGCGUGUGUGAGUCAAAUGUAUACAAAGAAGUACUGUAUGACAUGUGAAUAAAGUAUACUAGAGUGUGAAAAUUGCACUAUUAUAUCCUUAUUUCUUACAUAUUACAAAGUGCAAUUUCAGUGUAAAGUUGCGUGAUUUUUUUAAACUUUUUUCCAUUCUUACUUCUUAAAUGGUAAUACCAAUGUCUCUAAUUCAUUCUUUCUUGAAAAACUUUAUUUUUAUAUGUUUAUCUAUUUCCUUUCUUCUUUAAGGGUAAUACCAAUGCUACUAAUUUGUUUCUACGUAGGAAACUACUUUAUUUUUGCGAGUUUUCACUAUUAUAUGCUUAUUCUUUCAUAUUAUUAAAAAUUGUUUUUUGUAAAUUAUGUGCAAACUUUGUCAUUAUUUGUUUUUUUACUUUCUUCGUUCUUAAGGGUAAUAACAAUAUACUAAUUCAAGGAAACCUUAUUUUUUUGUGAAGUCUCACUAUUAUAUGCUUAUUAUUGCAUAUUAUAAAAAAGUAAUUUAUAUGUAAACUGCGUAAAAAAUUACUUCAUUUUAAUUUUCUGUCUUCUAAAAGGGUAAUAUUAAUGCCACUAAUUCAUUCUUUUUUGGAAAACUUUAUUAUUUUUUAUUUCAGUUUCUUUCAUCUUUAAGGGCAACACCAAUGCCAUCAAAUUCAUUCUUUCUUAGAUUUUUAAUGAAUUUCCACUAUUAUAUGUUUAUUUUUGCAUAUUAUAAAAAACAAAAUAUUAUGUGUAAUUUAUGUGCAAAUUUAGUUAUUUUUAUUUUUUACUUUUGUUUCUUCUUAAAGGGUUAUACCAAUGCACUAGUACAUUAUUUUCAUUCUGAUUAGGUUGUACUAGCAAAUAUGCCCGUGCGUUGCAACGGGAGAAAAACAAUCAGAUUAUGCAGAUUAUGUCAGGAUGAGAUAAGGACUUUUAAAAUGUCAUUUCAUAAACUACCCUGAAUCAUGUAGAGAUAAGGGACUUUUAAAAAGUAAAAGUGUGAUGGUCUCAUCACGACUUGAUUUCCUAAGGCACCACAACGAAAUAUUUUUUGGCUGAGCAAACUGCAUUGAUGGACGCUACCUGUGCUAGACCGAUGAAUGGUGUUUCUCGCCAUGACCAAGCGUCGUGGUGUUUUCCAUGAUCACUAAAACUGUGGUAGCAAAAUAAAGAUAGCUAUGUACGGAGGCCUUCUAAAAAAAGAAGCUAUGUACGGAGGCAAAUUAGACAUUUGGCCAUUUUUAUAUAGCUUACAAAAACUAACCCCAUAGAAAGUUGUGUCAAUUUUUUGGAGGCUCAGUGCUGUACACGGGAAUCUUUUUUCUACCUGAUGCAGGAUAGACUAAAUAAAAUCAUAAAACGACCUCUACAGAUCCCCUAAAAUACCUAUAUGUAAGCGACGGUUUGUUUUGUUCGUUAUGUACAUAUCUGUUUGAAUUUUUGUGAACAUUUUCUUAAUUUUUUUUUUCAAAUUCCCCAAUAUGAUUUGACUACACGAUCAUUUUUCAAAAACUUAUGAACCUUUUUAUUUCCCUAGCAUUUUUUUCAAAAUCAUGAUUUUUUAUAAUAUACGAACAUUUGUUUAAAAUCAUGAACAUUUUAUGGUUUCCCAAGCAUUUUUUAAACUCAUGAACAAUUUAUGAUUUGUCAAUUUUAUUUAAAAACUCAUAAAUUUUUGAAAUUUGAAAUUUCUGGAAAUCCUGAAUUAAUUUAAAGAAGCAAAAAUAAAAACAAAAUGAGCAAAAAAACAAAAAGCAAAAAAAAUAAACAAAAUGAGAAAAAUGGGGCGUGACGCCGCACACAUGAGCCGGCCCAUGAACGCAUCCGACGAGGAGGAGAAAAAGAGCAUACUACUCGGAUCAAACCCUGGUCUCGUGGGUGCAAGGAUGAGUCCUUAACCAUUACGGCAGUCGUGUGCCUGUGAAGUAUUAGGACAUCACAGUAUAAGAACCAAACACCGCGGUGACUUUGAAAAAAACCGAAUCGAUUUCUUCACUUACAAGUGGCAUAGUGGAUAAUUUAUAGCAACUUUGGGAGCAAUUUUUAGACGGACAACCAGAAGCGCUAAUGACUUUAUUAUUAGGUAUAAAUAUAGAUAUAUAGAUAUAGAUAUAAAGGUAGAUAUUAGGUAGGUACAGAUUGUGAUGAUAUGAGAAAAAGGAAACGGAAUUCCAUCGUUCGCUGGUUGGUUGUAUCGUAUCUAUACUAUUAUUAAACAAGGAAACAUUAUCUUUUUUAAGUGUACCUCGUCUAAUGUACACACAACAACCCAAAGUAAUUAGAGCCUCAGGAUUAAAUCCACUUAUUUAGAUCUAACCGUUGAAAUGAUAAUUAACCCUGACCAAAGGUACAUUUAGCGAUUUGCGGGGCGGACGAAAACUCUGCCAACCGCGUCCGCUAAUCCACUAAUCCAUCUCUCCGCUAAUCCCUCCAUGACUUCCGCUCUGCAUCGCACAUAUCCUCCCCCGCCGGCUCCGCAAAGGCCGCCACCCGCUGCCCUCGAAACCCACUUGUUCUCCGAGCGCCGCUGCCCCUCCCGCUGCGUCGAGCUCGCAGGCCACAGCCGUCGCCGCCGCUCAAUCUCUCCUGCGACCAUGGCGCCUCCUGCGGCAUCCCCACCAGUGUCCCCGACCUGGCAGCUUUGUCCGCUCCUACGGUGUCAUCCUAGACGAAGCCGCUGUCAAACGCGUCCGCGCCGUGCGCUGCUGGAGGGAGGGGCCGCAUCAGCUGUCGCUGCCGUGCGCCUGGCCAAGCGCUGCGGCCAGGGAGUGUCGCCGCGCCAUGUGUGACGGCGGGAGAUAAGGUCCGGGCCGUGUCGUUCUUCACUAACGCCGCCAUGCGCCUGACGUGGACGGCCUUGGCCGCCGACGAGAGCCGCGGUCGCCACGGUUAGAGAUGCCAAGGCAAAGCUGCACCCGGACGGGGUUGCUCCUGCAGUGCGGGCCAUGGCCGAGAGCGACUCCAACGAAACCAUGGCCGUCGUCACGAGGGCGAGCGCGCUGCGCCAACGGCUGGUGCCCCAGAAGGCGCCGCCAAAGCGCACGGCAGAGGACGGCGCUGAGCAGCGGGCGGUAUCGUCGGAUCUGGCAGCUGCCGAGAAACCGCGCGACGCACUGAAUCCUGAUUCACACCCACUGUACGCAGCCGGUCGGCUCUCACACAUCCGACUUCCACCGAGAAUACGACAUUCGUGGACGCUGCUCUCACCCUUCACAGGCGUUCGUGGCGUUGUAUAUUUGUGUUUGCAGCUCACUGGCUUGAGAGGGGUAUCCUUGGGAGAGGAUGAGUUGCCCAAGGCAAUGCUUGUUGCAGCAGCAAUUUAUGACUAGAGCCGGGCAGAACAAUCUCUCAAAUGGACCGGGGACCUCUCUUAUUGACAGCAUAGAUUUUGAUCAGAUUGUUAUUCCUGAGGUAUGGCACAUGUGCUUCAUAGUUCUUGAUUGGUUUCGAAAAAGGAAAGAAAAUAUAUCACCAUGGCAGGAAGCUAAUUUCAGGGUUAUCAGUUAGGUCCACUCUUUCCUCCGACAAGAUAGUUCUUGCAUGUGCGCUAAUGUACUGAUGUGUAUAGGAUUUGCAUGCGACAUUCCUGAAGGUAAUAAAAUGUGUACACUUGACCUUCUGCCACAUAGAUUGCAUUUUAAACUGAAUUACCGAGCUACCUGGAUUCAGUAAUUUAGCCGUUUCGUGAUAUUGCAGAUGCUGUGAUACUAUAAAGCAAAUAUAAUUUGAAAUAUUAGUUUGUGAUAGGGAAACUGUCAGGUAAAGUUGUAGUUUUAUUUAACCAGCUUCGGUGGUUGCUUAUUCGUUUCAGUAAUUGGAACUGCUUUUGCUUUGAACAUGCCCUUCAAAAUUCUGAUAUGGUGUGGUGUUCUCAUAAGUGGGCUCAGCACUCUGAUGCCCCUGUUCCUGCAACAAUACAAGGUAAGAACAUCUAAUGUUUACAUUCACACUAAUUUUCACCAGUUAGUAUUUUUUUAUUAAGUUCAUUUUUUAAGGGAUGAUGUGUUUGCUUUCACUUGUGAUAUAACAAAACUAGAUCAAGAGUGAUACCGAAGAAGUGAAGAUGCAAGUAUCUGUUUCCACGAAGAUCACUCCUUUGGACUUAUAUUGCUUUUAGGGAGGGAGUAUAAUUUUACCACACCUUGUACUUGACUUCCAUAAUUUUACCACACCCAACGUCUCUUGAUCACUCAGUUCUAAUUGUGCAAUGUGGAUCUGAAGGUGGGAGUCAGUAAUUACUGUACUCCGAAACACUGGAGCGUGUCAGGAAUGUGUGGUAUAAACAUGAUGGUGUGGUUCCCCCUACAUCAUUGCUUGAAGUCUUAUUUGAGGUUUCAUCAUGUUUUUGUGAUUUAGAAGCUGACCUGCCUGAAAGCCUGAAUUCUUUUCUUUCCAUCUUUAUUUUAUCCGUUCGCAUUUCAGCUUCUGUACGUACAGACUAUGAUAUAGCUUUGUAAGUUAAUCAGGUUACCAACACGUAAGCAUUUGUGAAACCGGAAAAAUACUUUGUAUCGUGAUGAUUAUUAGAUUACUUUUAGCCCUUUUAUUUGAAACCGGAAAAAUACUUUGUAUCAUGAUGAUUAUUGGAUUUCUUUUAGCCCUUUUACCCGAAACUGGAUAAAUACUUUGUAUCGUGAUGAUUAUGGAUUUCAAGUAUCUUUUAGCCCUUUUAUACAUAAUCUUCUAUUUCUGCACAUAUAUAAGUUGAUGUAGCCACAUAUCAUCUGUAUUUUCUAUUAUCCAUAAUAAGAAGCUAUAUAAUGCUAAUCCGAAUUAGUACUAAUAUAUAAUUUUGGUAGUCCACAUAACCAAAAUUAGUACUAAUAUAUAUAUUUUGCUAUGCAAAUGUAGAAUUGGCAUUCGUAGAAUAAAACAAUAGUCAAGAGGUAAGCAUCUUGAACAAAGCAAUUGCACCGUAAGGCAGUUUAUACUUCUUUUUCCUUGGAACACUCGAAGACAAGACUGCACCACACGGAAAUCUGUUGGUGUUCCCGGGAGCGCGCGAUCCUGCACGCGAAAAAAAUAUUUCAAAGUUGAAAAAAUUACAAACAAAAAUUUUGCGCAUACAUCUCGACAUUAUAUGUGUGCACGUCAAGUUUUGGAGAAAAUCGAUAAUUUUUGUGGCUUGUGUGAAAAGACAAAAGGAUAUUUUGUGAAAAGAUUUUUUAACACCGAAUUUUGUCUUUUUCACACACGACACACAAGUUGUUAGUUUUUCGCCGAACGACUUUGUGAGCAUGUACAAUAUCAAGAUAUAUGCGCCAAGUUUUUGUUUGAAUUAUUUUGACAUUUCAAAAUAGGUUUAAAACAUAUUUUUAAAAACAAAAUUGCGUGCUCCCAUGUGCCAAAACGCCACUCUCUUGGAUCAGGCCUAUAUUACUACACUAAUAAAUAAUAAUUCCUGAUUUUAUUUAAGUAAGAAUAUUUUUCCUGCGAUUACUCUACGCAGCUACAUAACUACAAUGUUGUCUCACUUUUGAAAACAGAAUUUGAGUGACAUCAAACAUUGUGUAUUGAUUUGAUUAAAAAAAUUGCAACAUUUAUUUGUAUUUUAUACUAUGUGAAUCUCACCUGUUUUACGAUUGAGACGUGCGUUGCAUGUGCAUACUUACUAGUAUAAAAAAAGGAAGAAACAAACGUUAUGGGGACACGCUGGUUCGUUCGUUUGCUGACCAUAUGUUCGUUUGCAAUCGAUGGACCGGUUGUACUCUCUCCAUUCCAAAAUAUAGUGCAUCCGCACUUUCUGAGGUUCAAUUUUGACUAUAAAUUUAACCAACGAGACCGACCGCAUCGGGAAAAAAAAAUUAUAUAAUUAAAAAUUUCUUUUGAAUACGAAUUCACUGGUAUAAAUUUUGCUCCUGCCGCAGUCGGUCUCGUUGGUUAAAUUCAUGGUCAAAAUUGAAGCAUGGAAAUAAGAAUAGAGGAAGCACUAUAUUUUGGAACGGAGGGUGUGGAAUAAGCAUGAAUGGAUGCAUAGAAAGAGGAGAUUUGCUGCUGCUUGGCGUGGCGUGACUGAACCAACAAACGCAUGCGCGCGCACGAGUAUAUACGAAGUAUAUCGCACCUUGGAGCCGUGAGAAACGAUGAAUUAAUCUUGUCCUUUUCGCAUGGAUUGAAAAUCCACACCAGUUCCCUAUGCCACGAGCGUCCAGUUCCACUGCAGCGCGAGCAUAUACAGAACUCAUCAUCGAGAGAGAAAGCUAGUAGCACACAGGGCAAGCAAGCAAGCUAAACGCACGCAAGCAAGCGGGAGGUCGCUCCUCAACUAGCUUACCAUGGCGAACGCGGCCAAGGCGGCAGCAAUCUUACUUGUUUUUCUGCAGGUGGCGUGCGCCGUCGCCCGGCACCAUGCUGAUCCGCGGGCAUCUUUCGCCUACGUCGAGACUUCAGGGGUGAUGAUGUUGAGUGGGUUCGACCAAGGAGAGGAGCGCGCGCCGGCGUCAUGCAGCGGCACAUACCACACCGACCUGGAAUCCGUGAUCACGGUGUCUAGCAAGAUAUACACGAGCGGGGGCCUGUGCGGCAUCAUGUUCCGCAUCACGGACAUGGAGACCGGGCGCAGCGCCAUGGCAGAGGCCGUGGACGAGUGCCACGACUGCCGCGACGACGAGGUGGGAGCGUCGGCCGGCGUGUGGAAAGAUCUCGGCCUCGACACUACAGGGGCCGGCUUAGUGGACGUCAUGUUGUCCUAUUGAGAGCCUGAGACUGAGAGGUCGGCUGGAUCAGGGUUGCCGACGAGAUAAACUCUUCAUGGUAAAUCAAGUUGGGGUCAUACACGCUACAUGCAUAUGAUGUGUGAGUCAUAUAUAUGUAGGAGGACAUCUGAAUAAAGCAACCUACUCAGAUGUCCUCCUACAUAUAUAGGUGCCACCAACCGGGACCAAAGGCCGCCGCUUCCCGCCCUUUGGGCUGCUGAAAAUUGGCAUUUGGUCCCUGUUGGUGCCACCAACCGGGACCAAAGGGGGGCAUUGGUCACGGUCCGUGCCACGAACCGGGACCAUUGCUCUGGGUAUAUAAGGUAGCACUUGUGAAAAUUUCGCCAACCGCUCCCAUUCUCCCCCGACGCCCCCAGGCCGUUCGUCGUCGUCGUCGCCGCCUCGAGCCCGUCGUCGCCCGCUCCCCGUCGCCGACACCCCGCGCCGCCGCAGGCCUUGUCCCCGUCGUUGCUUGCGCCGUCGCCGGCCUCCUCCUCGUCACUGCAUGCGCCAUCUCCGGCCCCCUCCCCGUCGCCCCGCGCCGCGUCGCUGGCCUCCUCCCCGUCCCCGGCCUCCUCCCUGUCGCGCCCCCAGUGAGCUCCCCCCUUCCCAUCGAUCCCUGUCGCUCUGACCAUCGCCGCCGAGAGGCUCAUAUGUAUGGCUAUGUAUGUAUGUAUGUAUGGCUAUGUAUGUAUGUAUAUGCUCAUAUGUAUGUAUGUAUGUAUGUAUGUAUGUAUGUAUGUAUGUAUGUAUGUAUAUGCUCACUGUAUAUGGAUUUGGCUAUGUAUAUGCUCUCUGUAUAUGCUCAUAUGUAUGUAUGUUCAUAUAGCAUUUUUUCUAUAUAUGAAUUAUUAUUUUGUUCAUGGAUAUAUGCUAAAGAAAAUGAGGGGGGUGAUAGAUGAUGAUGAGUCGAGAGUGGGACGAGAGGUCGAGAGGUGGCGAGGGGAGAAAAAAAUGUUAUCAGGGACGAGGGUCGUCGAGGGGUCGAGAGAGGGACGAGGGGUCGAGAGAACUAAAUAAGAAGAAGAAGAGGAGAGGAAGAAGAGGAGAAAUAAAUAAGAAGAAGAAAAAAGAAGAGGAGAGGAAGAAAGGAAUAGUGGAGAAGAAGAGAAAAUAGAAUAUAUUCUAUUUUUUUUCUUCUUCUCCACUAUUUCUUUCUUCUUCUCCUCUUUUUUUCUUCUUUUUUUUCUUCGAUCUUCUCCUCUAGCUAUUCCUUUCUUCUUCUCCUCUUUUUUCUUCUUCUUCUUCUUCUUCUUCUUCUUCUUCUUCUUCUUCUUCUUCUUCUUCUUCUUCUUCUUCUUCUUCUUCUUCUUCUUCUUAAUUUUUAUCGGGAACGAGGGUGUCNNNNNNNNNNNNNNNNNNNNNNNNNNNNNNNNNNNNNNNNNNNNNNNNNNNNNNNNNNNNNNNNNNNNNNNNNNNNNNNNNNNNNNNNNNNNNNNNNNNNNNNNNNNNNNNNNNNNNNNNNNNNNNNNNNNNNNNNNNNNNNNNNNNNNNNNNNNNNNNNNNNNNNNNNNNNNNNNNNNNNNNNNNNNNNNNNNNNNNNNNNNNNNNNNNNNNNNNNNNNNNNNNNNNNNNNNNNNNNNNNNNNNNNNNNNNNNNNNNNNNNNNNNNNNNNNNNNNNNNNNNNNNNNNNNNNNNNNNNNNNNNNNNNNNNNNNNNNNNNNNNNNNNNNNNNNNNNNNNNNNNNNNNNNNNNNNNNNNNNNNNNNNNNNNNNNNNNNNNNNNNNNGCCGAGGGGUCGAGGGUCGGGAACUAGGGUAGAGGGUCGAGGGUCGUUAAGGGGUCAAGGGUCGAGGGUUUCAGGGUCGAGGGUUCGAGGGUUCUAUAGGGUCGAGGGUCAAGGGUUCCAGGGUCGUCUAGGGGUCGAGGGUUCCAGGGUCGUCGAGGGUUCGAGGGGUCGAGGAUCGCCGAGGGGUCGAGAGAGGUUUCCUAGUGUCAAAGUAUUGAAGAAAUCCAUGGCUUCAUCAUUAGCCAGAAGUAACCAGGGCAUGACGAAGUCCUCCAAAAUUAUUUUGGAAUGGUGUCCCGGAUAGGAUAAUUUGCCUUUUUGUAUGAAUUUCAGCAAAGGCCUUCCAAAUAAUGAUAUUUGGAAGGUUCUUGCUAAACUUUGUACCAAAAAGCGAAUUAUCCUAUCUAGGACUCCGUUCCAAAAUAACUUUGGAGAGCUUCGUACCAUCAUGCACAUGUUACUUUCGCCUAAUGAUGAAGACAUGAUUUUGUUGAAUCCUUUGACACUACGCAACCUCCCGACCCCUCGGCGAUCCUCUCGAACAUGAGAGGAAGAAGAGGAUCGCCGAGGGGUCGAGGGUUCCAGGGUCGUCGAGGGUUCGAGGGGUCGAGGAUCACCGAGGGGUCAAGAGAGGUUUCCUAGUGUCAAAGUAUUGAAGAAAUCCAUGGCUUCAUCAUUAGCCAGAAGUAACCAGGGCAUGACGAAGUCCUCCAAAAUUAUUUUGGAAUGGUGUCCCGGAUAGGAUAAUUUGCCUUCUUGUAUGAAUUUCAGCAAAGGCCUUCCAAAUAACGAUAUUUGGAAGGUUCUUGCUGAACUUUGUACCAAAAAGCGAAUUAUCCUAUCUAGGACUCCGUUCCAAAAUAACUUUGUAGAGCUUCGUACCAUCAUGAACAUGUUACUUUCGCCUAAUGAUGAAGACAUGGUUUUGUUGAAUCCUUUGACACUAGGCAACCUCCCGACCCCUCGGCGAUGCUCUCGAACAUGAGAGGAAGAAGAGGAUAAAAAAAGAAGAGGAAGAAGAAAAAAAAGAGGAGAAGAAAGAAUAGAGGAGUUCUUCUCCUCUAUUCUUUCUUCUCCUUUUUUUUCUACUCCUCUAUUCUUUCUUCUCCUCUUUUUUUUCUUCUUCUUCCUCUUUUUUUAUUGGGAACGAGGGUCGUCGAGGGACAUAGAUGUAGUGUCGUUGUUGUCGAUAUAUACCCCCUCCCGAUAGCUUACUAUGAUUAGGUAGCUAGUUCUACGUUUGGCACUAAUAUAUCCAUCUGUCAUGUUUGAAUAGUAAUUGCCAUGUUGUAAAUAUUUGUAGAAACUAUGGACAGCGCCCUAGACGAAGCAAAAGAAGCGUUGUUGAGGGACAUAAUCGCAGAAGGAAGUGAUGCCGUCUCGUUGUUUCUCAACGAAACCGAUGGUCUGG
Molecule: long non-coding RNA, 19336 nt
Filed under: Triticum aestivum (bread wheat)
Lineage: Eukaryota; Viridiplantae; Streptophyta; Magnoliopsida; Poales; Poaceae
Description: long non-coding RNA (TAES_LNC005837)
Rfam family: MIR1120/MIR1122 microRNA precursor family (bases 575-689)
Source: RNAcentral